This is a long non-coding RNA of Conger conger (European conger), 879 nucleotides long. RefSeq lists it as uncharacterized. Lineage: Eukaryota; Metazoa; Chordata; Actinopteri; Anguilliformes; Congridae. The transcript is spliced from 3 exons. The record is from RefSeq and is a predicted model, not a curated record.
UUGAUCAGGAUAUCAGAUAUAUCCAAUUCUUCAACAAAGAGACUUUUGCCUGGGCCAUAUUCACCUAGAAAGGGUCACAACAAAGAAAACCGCGUGAUGCUUGUGACUAUCACUAAAUAUCCAAAUGAUAUGGCGAGCAGCGAUAUUAAUUUGCCGGUUUGCAAGCCAAAGUUAAAGAAGCCAAACAAGAUCAGCUUCAGGCAAAAAUGGCAGAACUAGAGGAUAGGAACAUCCGAUGCAGCCUUCACAUUGUUAACUUGCAUGCGAAUGCUGAAGGAUACAAUUUGGUAGGCUGGUGAAACUGGCGAGUCAACUAACCAGGAAACUGAGGAAGAAGAAGCGGGAAGACAAGACAAUGGUGGAACGUAUGGCGGCGUUCUGAAAGAAUAGCGAUACAUUUCUAGGGUGAUGGAAGAAGGGUAGGCAGUCGAAGUCGUUAUAAGACAGUGUCGGGUUAUUUUCGAUGGGUGAAGAAGACGAGCCUACACAUUUCUCUGAAGUAUCACUGGAAAACAGCGUUGCCAGUGUACAAACGCCACGGUUGUGUCUCCCCCUCCCAUUGGCUGCCACCGUGCAGCACCCGGGGUGCAAUGUGGGGUAGUGCCUUGCCCAGGGGUGCAAUGGCUGUGUGGAUCUUAUUGUGGCUACACCAGGGCUUCAACCACGAACCUUCCAGGUCCCAGUCAUGUACCUCAACCACUACGCUACAGGCUGCCCCAUUCUCAUCCCUCUACGUUGGAACAUCUUCGCUCAAUCAAACAGGAAGGUGGCACAGGUGGUGCAGUGGGUAUCCUCACAGUAGCCUCACAGCAAGGAGGUCCUGGGUUCGAAUCCCCGUCGGCUGGGGCCUCUCUGUGCGGAGUUUGCAUAUUCUCCUUG